UCUUAAAUAAAAAUGCUCCACUUAACAGUUCUUGCAUAGAUAUCUUACAAUACCAAUUUAGAAAAGAAUUAUGAAACAGACCAGUAACAAAAAUAAAUUUUCUUCUUCCUUAAUAAAGAACAUUACCAUACUAACAUCAUAUAAUACAAAUAAUAUUUUAAACACUUUGUACAGCAAAAAAUCGUAAGUAAAACAAGAGAACUGAAAAGAAACUCAACUCAACAGAGGUGACAGUGAGAGAAGAGAGGAGGGCGGGGUGGAGUGAAGGGUCAUGGAUCCAAGGUUGAUAUGAACGGAGUUACAGAGCCCUUGCAGGGCAGGUGAGAAGGAUGUCGUGAUGGUGAAAACACAUCUGCUUGUCUUAAUUCACUUUUCUACAUGUCCAUUCAUCCCAGAAAAUAUAUAAGUGGGAUCCCUCAACAGCUGUGGUUUGAGUACACACAGUGGGUCAUACAAAGGUGCUGAAAUACCACUUAAAGUUAAUACAAAUAUUAGAUUGGCCACACGAUAUGUGGCAUAAGGAUUGGAACCAAAUAAGCUUUCUGUUAGCGUGGACGGCAAUACUUGGAAAGUGCAUGUCAUUUCUACCAUGUUACUUACAACAAAGGGAUAUAAAUACACAGUCACUUUGAACAAGUGAGAUCUUUUCUGAAAGCUAAGGUUUCUGUCUGGCACUUGAUCUAAGAAAGAUUUUAGGUUGCCUGGCAGCAUGAUUGCAUCAUUUUAACAAUUACGUUAUAUUUCCUUCAAAAUCAUUUUGCUGUACUAUUUCAGAAAUGUAAUCUCUAAGGAAGGGUUGAGGCAGGGGGUGACAGACUGCUAAAGCUAUAGACUUUUGUAGACUGAAAAUGUUGAUGGGAAGUCUUCAUAAGUGACUGUAACUAAAAUAAAGAUUGUAUAGGUUGCAUCUGAUUGCAUAAAACUGUCAUAUAAUCACAUUUUUAAAACAUUUUAAACAGACAGUAGCCAUUCUGGACUAAACAUUUGAUACCCUAAAAAAAUAAUGUGCCAAAAAUCAAAUAUUUCAAUGCAAACUUGUUAGUCAGUGAAACAAAUAUUACCUUGGAUGUGACAGGGCACUAUUUCCCAUAACAAUAUAGCAGAGAAACCUAAUUCUUUGGUACCAAUCCUUUUGCCACAUACAUACUGACAGAACAGGACAGACUCCAAGAAGGAGUCUGUUAACUAAAAGCAUCAGGCAUCAGGCCAACUAAGCAGAUGAACUGACAGAGUGUGGAAAGCACCUACAAGGAUGGGUCCUUUGAAAAAAACAAAAAAACAAAACUGUACCCAGUGAGGACAUUAAGCUGGUAAAGUUGAAAAGUUAUUGCAGUCUCACCAAAGAACUGCUUGGGGAUCCCAAGCUGCAUAGCUCUUGAGAAUACUUCUCAGAACAGCUGGAUAUCUAUGAGCGUGUUGGGUCCCAGAGGGCUCUGAUGGUUGUGGUUUUGGUAGAGAGGGUUUGGUGUAGGUGAAGUGAAACAUACAGACACAAGGAGAAGGGUUAAGAUCUGUGAAUCUCUUAUAUACUGACACAUCAAGCAUGGACAAACACAGUAGUUACAGACAGCGUCACUCUGGGAUGCCACUGAUACCAAGAAAGUUCAACCAAGUCACAGCAUGACUGAGUGUUUUCAGAGUACGACAUAUUCCUCCAGAGAUAGAGUGAUGAAAAAGGCAUUUAACUGGAGUUUUAAGCAGAUAUGUCAGUCUGAUCUGCUGCAAGGUGACCUGUGGAAAAUAGUUCUUGGUGGCCAUGUGCAUCCUGGUCAUGUAACAAAUGUUAAGUGGAUAUUUGACAGAGUGCUCCAACAGACUAUGCUAGCAGUGCGCGCACAUGAGUGCAAUAGCUAAGUAUGAUCAUGUAGUGCAAUGUUUGCAAGAACUAAAGCAGAUCUAUAGAAACGCUGAAAUGUCUGAGCGAUGCUGUUCGCCACAUAUGGUUAAUUACAGACAGAGCGGUCUGCAUGAAAGAUCUCACGCUAUUUACAAAAGCUGCCAGAAGUGACAAUCCUUCAUCAGGACGAUAUGGUGGAAAACUGUGAAAACUGAAGCCUUAUCCCUCAAAGGACUGUGUCUAAACAACUAACUGUGGCUACAGAGAAUGUCUGAAGUUGCUUAUAUAAUGGUUAAACAUUCCCAAAGACUCAAGCCCACCUUGACUUUUAAAUGAGACUUGACAGUGCUAUCUGCAGUGUGCUAAGAAGCUAACUUAAACUAAAGCUACUUCACUCCUGCUUAAGCUGCUAGCGCCACUAUACCAGGCACCCUAUAAGACCAUGAAGACGUUAUUUUACAUUUGUGAACAAUGAGUUCGGCUCCAGCUGACAGUAGACGAGAGGACCGAGAAUGUUAUGAAGCAUGAAGCAUUGGAGCAUACCGGUAAUUAAGCUUUAACAGGAACAGUUAUGUAAGAUCAACAGUCCCUCUCCUCCCACCGUCCAUCCAUCACUCCUUUUCUGCACCUCUGCAUCUCAGCUCUUUCCACUACAUCUACUACAUUCACAGCAGUUAACUUGCAGAUAUGCAAAUCUUUGGGCAAAACGUGUAAAGUGUGCAUUCAGCAUUCCCGCAGCUGAUAGUGCAUGGACAACUGCUGUGGACAGAAAGGGAGAGAUGGGGUGAGGAUGGAGGGAGAGAGGGAAAUUAGAAUGGCACUAACUGUGAACCACGGGGGAGGACCGGGGGACGUGGAGUGGAUUAAAUAUCUGUUGGGACUUUGCAGAUAAUGGUAAUUUAUUUUAUCUGUAAUCCAUGAGAUAAAAUGCAAUGGCUGAUUUAAUGAUCUGGAUAUUCAUGUAGGUAAAUGAUUUUUUUUAAAUCCGUUUUUUUCCAUGAAAGUUCAGCCUCUUCAGUGAGUAUCUCACCAUCUCCUGAUAUUUCUUUGCGCUAACAGGACUUUCUGUUUGUUGUACAUCAAAUGUGUCCACUGGGUGCAAGUCGGGCUCAAGGUCCCUGUUGUUGGUUUUUUUUUUCUCUUUCUCCAGACCACUCAAUUUCCCUGUGACCCAGAGCUAUCUCAUUAGCUGAACUGCAACUUGAGAAGAGGACCCGAGAGUUAAUGCUAAUCAGAGCUGUGGGACGGCAGCUAGCCGGGCCUGGAGGAGCCUGAGAGACGACAGGAGACCCGGGCAACACUGUGACAGAAAACCUGCUUUGACAGGCUCAGACAUGAAGGGAAUGAAAUGUGAAUUUGUAUCUGAAGUGACUUUGUGAUCUGUCGAAUGUCAGGAGGGGUUAUGAUUUACGAGGAGAUGAACUGUGAGUUGCAAUCGCUUCAUGCUGGCAAGCACUACAAUCUUUAAUUUUGUUUUUGUAACAAACAAUUUAGCUUUUUUGCCUGUGUGGCGAGUGGCACAACUGCUCAAAACCAACA
Long non-coding RNA from Oreochromis aureus, 3376 nucleotides. Lineage: Eukaryota; Metazoa; Chordata; Actinopteri; Cichliformes; Cichlidae. The record is from Ensembl.